This 167-nucleotide ribosomal RNA is filed under the name uncultured bacterium. RNAcentral's name for it is "partial 16S ribosomal RNA". It matches the Rfam family "Bacterial small subunit ribosomal RNA", at positions 1332 to 1500 of the family's 1533-position model. The record is from RNAcentral.
UUGCUAGUAAUGGCAGGUCAGCAUACUGCCGUGAAUACGUUCCCGGGCCUUGUACACACCGCCCGUCACACCAUGAGAGUUGGAAAUACCCGAAGCCUGUGAGCUAACAAACGAGGCAGCAGUCGAAGGUAGAGCCAAUGAUUGGGGUGAAGUCGUAACAAGGUAAC